RNAcentral lists this ribosomal RNA (288 nucleotides) under uncultured bacterium. Its description in RNAcentral is "partial 16S ribosomal RNA". It matches the Rfam family "Bacterial small subunit ribosomal RNA", at positions 773 to 1060 of the family's 1533-position model. The record is from RNAcentral.
GUGGAUUAGAUACCCUGGUAGUCCUGGCAGUAAACGGUGCACGCUUGGUGUGAGGGGAAUCGACCCCCCUUGUGCCGGAGCUAACGCGUUAAGCGUGCCGCCUGGGAAGUACGGUCGCAAGACUAAAACUCAAAGAAAUUGACGGGGACCCGCACAAGCGGUGGAGUAUGUGGCUUAAUUCGAUGCAACGCGAAGAACCUUACCAAGGCUUGACAUGGAUUUCUAAGCACGUGAAAGCGUGUGACCCUUCGGGGAACUUCCACAGGUGCUGCACGGUCGUCGACAACU